Molecule: ribosomal RNA, 435 nt
Filed under: uncultured bacterium
Lineage: Bacteria
Description: partial 16S ribosomal RNA
Rfam family: Bacterial small subunit ribosomal RNA
Source: RNAcentral
AGCGAACGCUGGCGGCAGGCUUAACACAUGCAAGUCGAGCGGGCACUUUCGGGUGUCAGCGGCGGACGGGUGAGUAACGCGUGGGAACGUGCCCUCUGGUUCGGAAUAACUCAGGGAAACUUGAGCUAAUACCGGAUACGCCCUUUUGGGGAAAGGCUUGCUGCCGGAGGAUCGGCCCGCGUCUGAUUAGCCAGUUGGUGAGGUAACGGCUCACCAAGGCGACGAUCAGUAGCUGGUCUGAGAGGAUGAUCAGCCACACUGGGACUGAGACACGGCCCAGACUCCUACGGGAGGCAGCAGUGGGGAAUAUUGGACAAUGGGCGCAAGCCUGAUCCAGCCAUGCCGCGUGAGUGAUGAAGGCCUUAGGGUUGUAAAGCUCUUUUAUCCGGGACGAUAAUGACGGUACCGGAGGAAUAAGCCCCGGCUAACUUCGUG